This 650-nucleotide ribosomal RNA is filed under the name uncultured bacterium. RNAcentral describes it as "bacterial SSU rRNA". It matches the Rfam family "Bacterial small subunit ribosomal RNA", at positions 56 to 756 of the family's 1533-position model. The record is from RNAcentral.
UGCAGUCGAGCGCCCCGCAGGGGAGCGGCAGACGGGUGAGUAACGCGUGGGAAUCUACCCAUCUCUACGGAACAACUCCGGGAAACUGGAGCUAAUACCGUAUACGUCCUUCGGGAGAAAGAUUUAUCGGAGAUGGAUGAGCCCGCGUUGGAUUAGCUAGUUGGUGGGGUAAUGGCCUACCAAGGCGACGAUCCAUAGCUGGUCUGAGAGGAUGAUCAGCCACACUGGGACUGAGACACGGCCCAGACUCCUACGGGAGGCAGCAGUGGGGAAUAUUGGACAAUGGGCGCAAGCCUGAUCCAGCCAUGCCGCGUGAGUGAUGAAGGCCCUAGGGUUGUAAAGCUCUUUCAACGGUGAAGAUAAUGACGGUAACCGUAGAAGAAGCCCCGGCUAACUUCGUGCCAGCAGCCGCGGUAAUACGAAGGGGGCUAGCGUUGUUCGGAAUUACUGGGCGUAAAGCGCACGUAGGCGGAUUGUUAAGUUAGGGGUGAAAUCCCAGGGCUCAACCCUGGAACUGCCUUUAAUACUGGCAAUCUCGAGUCCGAGAGAGGUGAGUGGAAUUCCGAGUGUAGAGGUGAAAUUCGUAGAUAUUCGGAGGAACACCAGUGGCGAAGGCGGCUCACUGGCUCGGUACUGACGCUGAGGUGCGA